Molecule: long non-coding RNA, 162 nt
Organism: Nothoprocta perdicaria
Lineage: Eukaryota; Metazoa; Chordata; Aves; Tinamiformes; Tinamidae
Exons: 2
Source: RefSeq, a predicted model, not a curated record
ACUACCUGGCUUCCAACAGCUUCCCUCUCCUUGGGAGUGUGCACGGAGGGACUGCCGGGAAGCAUUCCACCGAACCAUUAUGUACUCGAACAAAACCUGAAACCUGCAGAUACGAGACUAAAUUAUAGUCUGGGGCAAUCAUCAGAACACGCUUAUUUUCUG